This 468-nucleotide ribosomal RNA is filed under the name uncultured bacterium. RNAcentral's name for it is "partial 16S ribosomal RNA". It matches the Rfam family "Bacterial small subunit ribosomal RNA", at positions 28 to 507 of the family's 1533-position model. The record is from RNAcentral.
GACGAACGCUGGCGGCGUGCUUAACACAUGCAAGUCGAACGGAAAGGCCCUGCUUUUGUGGGGUGCUCGAGUGGCGAACGGGUGAGUAACACGUGAGUAACCUGCCCUUGGCUUUGGGAUAACUUCAGGAAACUGGGGCUAAUACCGGAUAGGAGCUCCUGCUGCAUGGUGGGGGUUGGAAAGUUUCGGCGGUUGGGGAUGGACUCGAGGCUUAUCAGCUUGUUGGUGGGGUAGUGGCUUACCAAGGCUUUGACGGGUAGCCGGCCUGAGAGGGUGACCGGCCACAUUGGGACUGAGAUACGGCCCAGACUCCUACGGGAGGCAGCAGUGGGGAAUAUUGCACAAUGGGCGGAAGCCUGAUGCAGCAACGCCGCGUGCGGGAUGACGGCCUUCGGGUUGUAAACCGCUUUCGCCUGUGACGAAGCGUGAGUGACGGUAAUGGGUAAAGAAGCACCGGCUAACUACGUG